Long non-coding RNA from Labrus mixtus (cuckoo wrasse), 228 nucleotides. RefSeq lists it as uncharacterized. The transcript is spliced from 2 exons. The record is from RefSeq and is a predicted model, not a curated record. NCBI's taxonomy places the organism in Eukaryota, Metazoa, Chordata, Actinopteri, Labriformes, Labridae.
UACCAUCCAUGAUUAUCUCUGAUGAAUUAGUAAUAAACUAAAGUGCAGUUAUCAUUUUUUAUGGUUUACUUGCAACUGGAAUCAAUCAUAGCAGGUACAUUUCAUUCCUUAUUACCAUUAGGAGCUGUAUGCUGGGAACGUGUGUGUUCAUGUUCACCUGAUCAUCAUCUUCUACCACCACAAGUGUCAGUUUGCUCUUCUUAAAAUCCAGACAGGUGAUCUUGGGCC